This 1503-nucleotide ribosomal RNA is filed under the name Acinetobacter baumannii. Its description in RNAcentral is "bacterial SSU rRNA". It matches the Rfam family "Bacterial small subunit ribosomal RNA". The record is from RNAcentral. Lineage: Bacteria; Pseudomonadati; Pseudomonadota; Gammaproteobacteria; Moraxellales; Moraxellaceae.
AUGGCUCAGAUUGAACGCUGGCGGCAGGCUUAACACAUGCAAGUCGAGCGGGGGAAGGUAGCUUGCUACUGGACCUAGCGGCGGACGGGUGAGUAAUGCUUAGGAAUCUGCCUAUUAGUGGGGGACAACAUCUCGAAAGGGAUGCUAAUACCGCAUACGUCCUACGGGAGAAAGCAGGGGAUCUUCGGACCUUGCGCUAAUAGAUGAGCCUAAGUCGGAUUAGCUAGUUGGUGGGGUAAAGGCCUACCAAGGCGACGAUCUGUAGCGGGUCUGAGAGGAUGAUCCGCCACACUGGGACUGAGACACGGCCCAGACUCCUACGGGAGGCAGCAGUGGGGAAUAUUGGACAAUGGGGGGAACCCUGAUCCAGCCAUGCCGCGUGUGUGAAGAAGGCCUUAUGGUUGUAAAGCACUUUAAGCGAGGAGGAGGCUACUUUAGUUAAUACCUAGAGAUAGUGGACGUUACUCGCAGAAUAAGCACCGGCUAACUCUGUGCCAGCAGCCGCGGUAAUACAGAGGGUGCGAGCGUUAAUCGGAUUUACUGGGCGUAAAGCGUGCGUAGGCGGCUUAUUAAGUCGGAUGUGAAAUCCCCGAGCUUAACUUGGGAAUUGCAUUCGAUACUGGUGAGCUAGAGUAUGGGAGAGGAUGGUAGAAUUCCAGGUGUAGCGGUGAAAUGCGUAGAGAUCUGGAGGAAUACCGAUGGCGAAGGCAGCCAUCUGGCCUAAUACUGACGCUGAGGUACGAAAGCAUGGGGAGCAAACAGGAUUAGAUACCCUGGUAGUCCAUGCCGUAAACGAUGUCUACUAGCCGUUGGGGCCUUUGAGGCUUUAGUGGCGCAGCUAACGCGAUAAGUAGACCGCCUGGGGAGUACGGUCGCAAGACUAAAACUCAAAUGAAUUGACGGGGGCCCGCACAAGCGGUGGAGCAUGUGGUUUAAUUCGAUGCAACGCGAAGAACCUUACCUGGCCUUGACAUACUAGAAACUUUCCAGAGAUGGAUUGGUGCCUUCGGGAAUCUAGAUACAGGUGCUGCAUGGCUGUCGUCAGCUCGUGUCGUGAGAUGUUGGGUUAAGUCCCGCAACGAGCGCAACCCUUUUCCUUACUUGCCAGCAUUUCGGAUGGGAACUUUAAGGAUACUGCCAGUGACAAACUGGAGGAAGGCGGGGACGACGUCAAGUCAUCAUGGCCCUUACGGCCAGGGCUACACACGUGCUACAAUGGUCGGUACAAAGGGUUGCUACACAGCGAUGUGAUGCUAAUCUCAAAAAGCCGAUCGUAGUCCGGAUUGGAGUCUGCAACUCGACUCCAUGAAGUCGGAACCGCUAGUAAUCGCGGAUCAGAAUGCCGCGGUGAAUACGUUCCCGGGCCUUGUACACACCGCCCGUCACACCAUGGGAGUUUGUUGCACCAGAAGUAGCUAGCCUAACUGCAAAGAGGGCGGUUACCACGGUGUGGCCGAUGACUGGGGUGAAGUCGUAACAAGGUAGCCGUAGGGGAACCUGCGG